CCUACGGGAGGCAGCAGUAAGGAAUAUUGGACAAUGCUCGCAAGAGUGAUCCAGCCAUGCCGCGUGCAGGAAGAAUGCCCUAUGGGUAGUAAACUGCUUUUGAACUAGAGAAAAUCCUACUACGAGUAGUAGGCUGAUAGUAUAGUUAGAAUAAGCAUCGGCUAACUUCGUGCCAGCAGCCGCGGUAAGGCGAAGGAUGCAAGCGUUAUCCGGAUUCAUUGGGUUUAAAGGGAGCGUAGGUGGACAUAUAAGUCAGUGGUGAAAUCUCCGAGCUUAACUCGGAAAUUGCCAUUGAUACUGUUUGUCUUGAGUACAGUUGCUGUGGGCGGAAUAUGACAUGUAGUGGUGAAAUACAUAGAGAUGUCAUAGAACACCGAUUGCGAAGGCAGCUCACAAAGCUGUAACUGACACUGAGGCUCGAAAGUGCGGGGAUCAAACAGGAUUAGAUACCCUGGUAGUCCGCNCUGUAACGAUGAUACUCGUCUGCUAGAAGACGUAACUUUAGUUGUGUUAGACGAAGACGAGUAAGUAAAGUACCGUACCCGUCGGGUAGGUACGGCCCGGCCGACCGGGUACGGUAAACGUUAAAGUUAGUUAAGUUAGGUUACGGGACGGUUGGAGGACGUUCGCCGACGGGACGACGACGACGGGGAGGGUUAGGG
Molecule: ribosomal RNA, 662 nt
Filed under: uncultured bacterium
Lineage: Bacteria
Description: bacterial SSU rRNA
Rfam family: Bacterial small subunit ribosomal RNA (bases 1-538)
Source: RNAcentral